Molecule: long non-coding RNA, 413 nt
Organism: Drosophila sulfurigaster albostrigata
Lineage: Eukaryota; Metazoa; Arthropoda; Insecta; Diptera; Drosophilidae
Exons: 3
Source: RefSeq, a predicted model, not a curated record
UAAACAGUGGAAAGGAAGAAUGUAAAAAUUAUUAUGAUAUACUAAUAAGCUUUAAUCACACCCCUUGUGAGCAAAGAAGCUUUGUUAUUUUUACAUAUGUAUUAUAAGCAAGCGACAAGCACUGUUUUCUUAUAUACGAGUUUGAAAAACAUUAUAUAGCUGUGAAAUUUGAGAUUAAAACGCAGUGCAUUUACGGAUCUCCAGCUAUAAUGUUCAAGCUCAGCGUAAUUUUCUUUCUUGUUUUUGGUUCAGCGAUCGCUUUUGCGCCUAUCGAAGUUGAAAGAAAUGCGGACACAUUAUGCAUUAGAGGCGAUUCAAAACCGGGAUAUUGUGUACUCCUAAGACAAUGUUCGUUCAUUCAUAAUAUUAUUUUGCAAAAAAAUCGUGGAAUUCAACCCACAGGCGAAAAUAUC